Leucoraja erinaceus (little skate) is the source of this 434-nucleotide long non-coding RNA. RefSeq lists it as uncharacterized. The record is from RefSeq and is a predicted model, not a curated record. The transcript is spliced from 2 exons. Lineage: Eukaryota; Metazoa; Chordata; Chondrichthyes; Rajiformes; Rajidae.
GACAGAGAGACUCACUGAGCGGAGACGCUGAUGGCGGCGGCGAUCAACAUGGCGGUUGCUCUUUAAAUCUCUGGUUGCUCCGGGCACCAACCGUCGCCGGGUCCCGCCCCCCGACCGCGCUGAUUGGACGAGGAGGCGGCGACUGACGGCGGUCCCGGCCAAUGGGCGGAGGAUGUUGCAGCUCCUAGACUGUGGAACACCAUCCCUGUUCCCAUCAGAACUGCCCCCUCCAUCGACUCUUUUAAGUCAAGACUAAAGACUUAUCUAUACUCCCAAGCCUUUCCUGACGUCCUCUGAGUGAGGGCUACAUGUAUAUAUGUAUGUAGUUUGUUUUGUUGUGCUAUUCUUAUAACAAAUGUAAAGCACUUUGGCCAACGAGAGUUGUUUUUUAAAUGUGCUAUAUAAAUAAAUGUGACUUGACUUGACAUCCUUAA